CCUACGGGCGGCAGCAGUGGGGAAUAUUGCACAAUGGGCGCAAGCCUGAUGCAGCCAUGCCGCGUGUGUGAAGAAGGCCUUCGGGUUGUAAAGCACUUUCAGCGGGGAGGAAGGCGGUGAGGUUAAUAACCUCAUCGAUUGACGGUACCCGCAGAAGAAGCACCGGCUAACUCCGUGCCAGCAGCCGCGGUAAUACGGAGGGUGCAAGCGUUAAUCGGAAUUACUGGGCGUAAAGCGCACGCAGGCGGUCUGUCAAGUCGGAUGUGAAAUCCCCGGGCUCAACCUGGGAACUGCAUUCGAAACUGGCAGGCUAGAGUCUGGUAGAGGGGGGUAGAAUUCCAGGUGUAGCGGUGAAAUGCGUAGAGAUCUGGAGGAAUACCGGUGGCGAAGGCGGCCCCCUGGACAAAGACUGACGCUCAGGUGCGAAAGCGUGGGGAGCAAACAGGAUUAGAUACCCCGGUAGUC
RNAcentral lists this ribosomal RNA (465 nucleotides) under uncultured Klebsiella sp. RNAcentral's name for it is "bacterial SSU rRNA". It matches the Rfam family "Bacterial small subunit ribosomal RNA", at positions 338 to 795 of the family's 1533-position model. Lineage: Bacteria; Pseudomonadati; Pseudomonadota; Gammaproteobacteria; Enterobacterales; Enterobacteriaceae. The record is from RNAcentral.